GCCUGGCUGGCUUAGUUGGUAGAGCAUGCGACUCCCAAUCUCAGCGUCGUGAGUUCAAGCCCCACGUUGGGCA
Molecule: non-coding RNA, 73 nt
Organism: Neomonachus schauinslandi (Hawaiian monk seal)
Lineage: Eukaryota; Metazoa; Chordata; Mammalia; Carnivora; Phocidae
Source: the annotation of a RefSeq genome assembly